CUUUUUGUUUUCCCUUUUAAAAAAUCAGCUACAGUAUUAAAAGGGAAAUGUGUUUCUCACAGUGCUAGGUCCCUUCUCAUGGGAUCGAAUAGCAGAGUCCUGGCUACGGGUUCAAAUGCCCUGCUGAAAUCCUCAGACAAUUCCAACAUCCACAAAGCUACGAAAGGAAGUGAGCUGCAUCUUCAUUUCACUAUCUAUUAUUAAACACACCACCAUGGCACCGCUGGUGAUUGGGAAGUGCCCUAGAUACUGGGAGCAGUGAAUGAGAAUGUGAAUCCAUCCUGAGGCUUGGAGUAUGAAUUAGUGUAAACGCCCUUUUGAACAAGGUACUUGACUUUGUUUUGCAGAAACAUAGCUUUUGUUGCCUUUUAAAUAUCCUUUAAUUCUCUCAGGGUGUGAAAUCCUCUAUUAAUUUGACCAGUUUCUGUUACUCAAAUCCCCUGUAUCCAGGUAGGAUAUAUACCUCAAACACUGCUGGAUAAUUUCCAAAAUGUGGUUGAAUGUAUAUCAAAAUUUUCCAUUCUUGAAGAUUGCUUAGAGGAAUCGAAACAUACAUUUUAACAGAUAAAAGGAGUGAUUAUGAAUUAUUUAAAUUGACAGUUUCAACAACAUUUAACUUAUUUAUUCAAUAUAGUAUUAUAGUUCUAUAGUACUAUAUAUGGUACAUAUAUCAUUUAGUUUGUUUUAUAAUAGCAGCACAUGGUCACUUAGGAUAAAUUGGAAGAGAAAGAAAUGAAAGUUAUUUUGAUGUAGUUUCACACUCAGCAAUAAAAACUGUUUGUAUUUAAACAUAUUUUCCCAAUCUUGGUAUGUUUUUAUAACUUGCUUCCUCACAUAUUUGUAGUGUUUCUCCCAUGUUACUAAAUAUUUUUAAACAUGUGCUUUUGUGACUGAAUGACUUUCCAUUAAAC
This 911-nucleotide long non-coding RNA is filed under the name Macaca mulatta (Rhesus monkey). RNAcentral describes it as "lncRNA (ENSMMUG00000059209.1)". The record is from RNAcentral. Lineage: Eukaryota; Metazoa; Chordata; Mammalia; Primates; Cercopithecidae.